GCCAGCAGCCGCGGUAAUACGACAAGUAGAACGAACGCUGGCGGCAAGCCUAACACAUGCAAGUCGACCGUUCAAUUAUUUUUAGCCUCUGGCUAUAGGAAAUUGUUAGUGGCAGACGGGUGAGUAAUGCGUAGGAAUCUACCUAGUAGUACGGAAUAGCCAUUAGAAAUGGUGGGUAAUACUGUAUAAUCCCCGAGGGGGAAAGAUUUAUCGCUAUUAGAUGAGCCUACGUUAGAUUAGCUAGUUGGUGAGGUAAUGGCUUACCAAGGCUAUGAUCUAUAGCUGGUCUGAGAGGACGAUCAGCCACACUGGAACUGAGAUACGGUCCAGACUCCUACGGGAGGCAGCAGUGGGGAAUAUUGGACAAUGGGCGAAAGCCUGAUCCAGCUAUGCCGCGUGAGUGAAGAAGGCCUUCGGGUUGUAA
This 424-nucleotide ribosomal RNA is filed under the name uncultured Ehrlichia sp. Its description in RNAcentral is "bacterial SSU rRNA". It matches the Rfam family "Bacterial small subunit ribosomal RNA", at positions 1 to 428 of the family's 1533-position model. Lineage: Bacteria; Pseudomonadati; Pseudomonadota; Alphaproteobacteria; Rickettsiales; Anaplasmataceae. The record is from RNAcentral.